GAGUUUGAUCAUGGCUCAGGAUGAACGCUAGCGAUAGGCUUAACACAUGCAAGUCGAGGGGCAUCACGGGAUUAGCUUGCUAAUCUUGGUGGCGACCGGCGUAAGGGUGCGUAACGCGUAUGCAACUUGCCUGUCAGUGGGGAAUAACCCGGAGAAAUCCGGACUAAUACCGCAUACACUUUGGUUUCCGCAUGGGGACUUUAGGAAAGAUUUAUUGCUGACAGAUAGGCAUGCGUUCCAUUAGAUAGUUGGUGAGGUAACGGCUCACCAAGUCAACGAUGGAUAGGGGAGCUGAGAGGCUUAUCCCCCACACUGGAACUGAGACACGGUCCAGACUCCUACGGGAGGCAGCAGUGAGGAAUAUUGGUCAAUGGGCGAGAGCCUGAACCAGCCAAGUCGCGUGAAGGAAGACGGUCCUAUGGAUUGUAAACUUCUUUAGUAGGUGAGUACAAGCAGUUACGUGUAGCUGUAGCAAGUACCUAG
This 483-nucleotide ribosomal RNA is filed under the name Porphyromonas cangingivalis. Its description in RNAcentral is "bacterial SSU rRNA". It matches the Rfam family "Bacterial small subunit ribosomal RNA", at positions 9 to 483 of the family's 1533-position model. The record is from RNAcentral. Lineage: Bacteria; Pseudomonadati; Bacteroidota; Bacteroidia; Bacteroidales; Porphyromonadaceae.